GCCUCGUUAGCUCAGUUGGUAGGGCAGCUGACUCUUAAUCAGUUUGUCCACGGUUCGAGCCCGUGACGGGGUACCA
Molecule: transfer RNA, 76 nt
Filed under: Agathobacter rectalis
Lineage: Bacteria; Bacillati; Bacillota; Clostridia; Lachnospirales; Lachnospiraceae
Description: tRNA-Lys
Rfam family: tRNA
About the family: Transfer RNA (tRNA) molecules are approximately 80 nucleotides in length. Their secondary structure includes four short double-helical elements and three loops (D, anti-codon, and T loops). Further hydrogen bonds mediate the characteristic L-shaped molecular structure. tRNAs have two regions of fundamental functional importance: the anti-codon, which is responsible for specific mRNA codon recognition, and the 3' end, to which the tRNAs corresponding amino acid is attached (by aminoacyl-tRNA synthetases). tRNAs cope with the degeneracy of the genetic code in two manners: having more than one tRNA (with a specific anti-codon) for a particular amino acid; and 'wobble' base-pairing, i.e. permitting non-standard base-pairing at the 3rd anti-codon position.
Source: RNAcentral